Molecule: long non-coding RNA, 2173 nt
Filed under: Vulpes vulpes (red fox)
Lineage: Eukaryota; Metazoa; Chordata; Mammalia; Carnivora; Canidae
Description: lncRNA (ENSVVUG00000001014.1)
Source: RNAcentral
CCCCACCCCACCCCCGUAUCCGCAACAAGCAUGUUGACUCAAUCAGGGCUCUCUUCCACUGAAGGGGGUGCUGCCUCCAACCCCAUCCUCUACCCACAGCUCUAAGCAACCAACCCAGCCCUGGUCAAGAAGUGAGGGUAGGGCCUGGCCUGCAUCACCCCAUGCCUACCCCUCUGAUGUCACAAUCCUCACAGAGCUUUCCUGACUGUCCUCAGGGCUCUCUUUUUGCUCUGCUCCUGUCCAGCUCCACACCUGCUUCCCGACCCCAGGGCACCUAGGGCCCUGGCCUUAGAAUUGGAUCCAAAAACGCUUGGCCUCCAGCCUGUCUACCUCUGGGCCGUGAUCUCCCCCAAGGGUCACAUGGCACAGGCCCAGAGGGGACUCUGGAUGGUGACUUCUCACCUGUGCAUGGUCAUGAGCCCUCGGGGAAGGCCCCUCACGGAGACCUGGCCCCAGCACUCACCACAACCUGGAGUUCCGUGAUGGGUUUGCUUACAGCUUUGGUGUCUCCCUCCCCUGGGGAGUCAAUUCCCAAAAGGCAGCCGCCUGGUCCACCCUCUUCCCUUCUGUGUGCCCAGCAUGCAGGGCAGGGCCUGAAACAGGAGAGGCACCCAGCCGCUAGCAGUGGGAGGGAGUAGAUGCUCUCCUCAGCCCCCACCCGGGCCCCCCCGAGGCCCAGACGCACCCGGGGCAGCCUCAGCAUGGCUCUGCCUGCGGGAUGUCACCCUCUGAGCUUCCUUCACCUGCAGUGACCCUGGCUCUCCCGCUACCCCAUCCUCUCCGCACCAGCCCUGCUGGGCUCUCCCCCUGAAAUCAGACAGGAUGAGUUCACGAUCUGUAAAGUCCGCUGUCUUUUCCCCCAACCAGGCGGGGAAAGCGAGAAUGCCCGUCUCCAGGGUUCUCACGGGAAUUCACUCAGGAGCCAACACACACCAGAUGUGCAGACUCCUUACCGGUGUUUAUCGCCAAGUGACUAAUACACCGUUAAUACGAGGGGCAAGACCCUCUCGGGUCUCUGAAGCCUUGCUCUUCCCCAGCCCCUGCAGUGAAAGUGGCAGGGUCACACGGCACACGUCUGUCCCCCGUGGGGGGACCGAGAGGCCACCCCCACCCCUACUCCACGCCAGUGCCACGCUCCGCCCAUCCAUCCUCAUCCAACAACGUCGCCUCGCACCCAUCCUGUGCCAGAUGCCGUGCAAAGGAUGACAGGAUGGGAGGCCCGACCUCUACCGUCCAGGAGCCCAUGUAGUGAAGGAGCUCACGUUCCUUGCACGGGGGUCUGAUGAUGGCCCGUGAUGAUCUGGUGGGCGCCUGCAAUACACUAAGUACCGUGAACUUCAAAUGUCUCAAACCCUUGCAGUGAUGCUACCGAGUGUCAUCAUGUCCCUUCCUACAGAGGAGGAAACGGAGGCUCAGGAAGUCCAGGCUCAGGCGACCUGCCCGAGCCAUAGCUCCUAAGCGUCAACACCUGGCUGUGGGUCCCCAGAACCCACGCUCUUCCUGGGGGCACCACACUGCCCUUGAGGCCGACCCCAUGGCCCGCCCCGCUCCACCCUUCUGCGACUCUCACCCUCAGUGAGAGCCGGUCUCUGUGGCCUGGACCGUGGGCCUUGCCUGUCGCUGUGCUCAGACCAGGCCUGCCUGUCCCAGGCUGCCACCCCGGGCUUGUGCUGUUUCCUCAGCCUGGGAUGUUCUCCUGUGCAACCUGACCUCUCCGUUCCUCAAGAUCCGGGUUGGGAGCACCAACCUGGAAGGUCUCAGCUAGCGAGACGCUCCGUGUCCCUGAAGACACUGUCGGGUCCUCUGCGCUGGCACAGGUCCAUCUCCCGCAGCGGACUUGGGGGUCCCGGGGAACAGGACCCUCCACGGCAUCAUCCCACGGAAGGUCCGUCCUCAGGAGCCGCGCAGCUGGACCAAGUAGGAUUGGAUUGCUGAAAAUAGGAAAGUGGGCUCAAUCGGGGGUCAGAAAAGGGUUGUAGGGACACCUGGGUGGCUCAGCGGUUUAGUGCUGCCUUCAGCCCAGGGCGUGACCUGGGGUCCCGGGAUCAAGUCCCACGUUGGGCUCCCUGCAUGGGGCCUGCUUCUCCCUCUGCCUGUGUCUCUGCCUCUCUCUCUCUCUCUCUCUCUGUCUCUCAUGAAUAAAUAAAAACAAAAAUAUUUUUAAAAAAGAAAA